CAGCUUGCUGGUCUGAUCAGUGGCGAACGGGUGAGUAACACGUGAGCAACCUGCCCUAGACUCUGGAAUAACCAUGGGAAACGAUGGCUAAUACCGGAUACGAGACACACACGCAUGUGUGGUGUCUGGAAAGAUUUAUCGGUCUGGGAUGGGCUCGCGGCCUAUCAGCUUGUUGGUGGGGUAGUGGCCUACCAAGGCGACGACGGGUAGCCGGCCUGAGAGGGCGACCGGUCACACUGGGACUGAGAUACGGCCCAGACUCCUACGGGAGGCAGCAGUGGGGAAUAUUGCACAAUGGGCGCAAGCCUGAUGCAGCGACGCCGCGUGAGGGAUGACGGCCUUCGGGUUGUAAACCCCUUUCAGCAGGGAAGAAGCGCAAGUGACGGUCCUGCAGAAGAAGCGCCGGCUAACUACGUGCCAGCAGCCGCGGUAAUACGUAGGGCGCAAGCGUUGUCCGGAAUUAUUGGGCGUAAAGAGCUCU
RNAcentral lists this ribosomal RNA (481 nucleotides) under earthworm cast bacterium NC13. RNAcentral describes it as "bacterial SSU rRNA". It matches the Rfam family "Bacterial small subunit ribosomal RNA", at positions 76 to 571 of the family's 1533-position model. The record is from RNAcentral.